GAUGAACGCUGGCGGCGUGCCUAAUACAUGCAAGUCGAGCGAACAGAUAAGGAGCUUGCUCCUUUGACGUUAGCGGCGGACGGGUGAGUAACACGUGGGUAACCUACCUAUAAGACUGGAAUAACUCCGGGAAACCGGGGCUAAUGCCGGAUAACAUUUAGAACCGCAUGGUUCUAAAGUGAAAGAUGGUUUUGCUAUCACUUAUAGAUGGACCCGCGCCGUACUAGCUAGUUGGUAAGGUAACGGCUUACCAAGGCAACGAUACGUAGCCGACCUGAGAGGGUGAUCGGCCACACUGGAACUGAGACACGGUCCAGACUCCUACGGGAGGCAGCAGUAGGGAAUCUUCCGCAAUGGGCGAAAGCCUGACGGAGCAACGCCGCGUGAGUGAUGAAGGUCUUCGGAUCGUAAAACUCUGUUAUUAGGGAAGAACAAAUGUGUAAGUAACUGUGCACGUCUUGACGGUACCUAAUCAGAAAGCCACGGCUAACUACGUG
RNAcentral lists this ribosomal RNA (497 nucleotides) under uncultured bacterium. Its description in RNAcentral is "partial 16S ribosomal RNA". It matches the Rfam family "Bacterial small subunit ribosomal RNA", at positions 28 to 507 of the family's 1533-position model. The record is from RNAcentral.